This 72-nucleotide transfer RNA is filed under the name Bos taurus (domestic cattle). It matches the Rfam family "tRNA". Rfam says of the family: Transfer RNA (tRNA) molecules are approximately 80 nucleotides in length. Their secondary structure includes four short double-helical elements and three loops (D, anti-codon, and T loops). RNAcentral also lists the same sequence under 1 other name. Lineage: Eukaryota; Metazoa; Chordata; Mammalia; Artiodactyla; Bovidae. The record is from Rfam by way of RNAcentral.
UCCCUGGUGGAUCAGACGGUAAAGCGUCUGCCUGCAAUGCAGGUGACCUGGGUUCAAUCCCUGGCUUGGGAA